AGAGUGUUAAGCAGUCUCCAUGCUCAACACAGAGCCCAAUACAGAGCACAGUCUCACACCCCUAUGAUCAUGACCUUGGCCAAAAUCAGGAAGAGAAGAAAGAAAGGAAGAGACACCUCUGAUCACAGUGCUCUCUCCAACUUUGUACAUACAUGAUGAGGGAAGUCAUCACUCUCAUUGUGCUGGUAGGAACCUGGAGCUCUGGAGAAAUAUAAGGACUUUGAAGAUCAGACAGAGAAAAUCAUUUGUCCUUGAACACGCAACUUGGUAAAUGCUUGAAGUCCUAGAAGACAGCUCCAUCUACCACAAAAUAUCAAAUUUAUUUCUUUACACCCCACCACUGAAGGGCAAUUUAAAGAACACUUUGGCUUGUAUCUUCUUAUGUAAAGGAAUAAGGAAAAUGGGCCCAUGCUUGAUUAUCACAGGAGACAGAAAGCUGCAUAUUUUGCUGCCACUGGCUGACUGCUCUUAAAAGGAAUUCAGACUGGAGGCCUGGUCCAGGAAGAACGCUGUCAGCAGAGAUCGCUAGGGAGCAGGACUGCUUGUGCUAUGCAGUGAGAAAUUUGAUCAAGAAGGGUUUCCAAGGACCAUUUCACAGAAUCUUAUAGGCCCUUCCAAGGACUGUUUCCUGGUGUAAAGCACAUUACCUGGACCAUCAGGU
Molecule: long non-coding RNA, 661 nt
Organism: Suricata suricatta (meerkat)
Lineage: Eukaryota; Metazoa; Chordata; Mammalia; Carnivora; Herpestidae
Exons: 7
Source: RefSeq, a predicted model, not a curated record